UCUUUGUUUUUUCCUAUAUAUAAACAUAAAUAGGUAAUGAGCACUUUCUACUCAAGCAAUAAAAAGUCCCAAAAUAUUACUCCCUGCGUCCAGUGAAGUGGCAUAAAAAUCACAUGACGGUCUCAUCCCUUGUCUAGUUUGCCCUGUGGGUUCAUGCCUUGGUGUGGAGAAAGAUGAUUUCCCAGCUGUUAAGCCCAGGGAACUGCGGAUGCCCCUGCAGCUCGGCUGUGACCCACACGCCCUACAUCAUCUUUGUGUAGACACGAAUGCAGGAAUUAGGAGACAGAGGAAG
Molecule: long non-coding RNA, 292 nt
Filed under: Struthio camelus australis
Lineage: Eukaryota; Metazoa; Chordata; Aves; Struthioniformes; Struthionidae
Description: lncRNA (ENSSCUG00000018264.1)
Source: RNAcentral